This is a long non-coding RNA of Sebastes umbrosus (honeycomb rockfish), 370 nucleotides long. RefSeq lists it as uncharacterized. Lineage: Eukaryota; Metazoa; Chordata; Actinopteri; Perciformes; Sebastidae. The record is from RefSeq and is a predicted model, not a curated record. The transcript is spliced from 3 exons.
ACCACCGUCCUCUAGUGACCUCGCUGGACCUGGUGGACAUGUAGCGCUGGAUUUAACAUUGCGAUCGUCAAACUACAGAUACACACCAAUCAUAGCUGCACUCACAGCGCAGAGAGGACCAGUGGGAUCACUGGGACACAUGCACAUAACACAACCCGUUCCCUUCUGUGAAAUAUGGCUGCUUUGUAUCUAAUAGAGCAAAAGGGGGACUUGUGAGUCAGUAUCAGAAGCCGAGGGGCGUAACAAAGCAGCGAUAUUUGACCACCUGAACGGGCUGCACACCCUGUGUGCUGUUAUUGGCUUGGGGUUACACCCCCACAUGGAGCACAAAGGCUGUUUGCAGACGCCCAGAAGCAGAAACACCAUCACA